UGUCUUCAAGUAGAUGUGUGUAUGUAGAAAUCUUCUAGAACAUUAUCUAAUAGAGUAAGGAAAUAGAGUUGUCAGAGAAGUCCUGUAGACAUUUACAAUAGAUGUAUAUCAGGUGUCUAACAGACAUCCUGUGCCUCAUGGGAUUAAGAAUAUGCAACGAUUGGUUUUUAUGUUCUAGAAUACUCCGUCUGUGUCUGUGACCACAUUCUGAUUAUGAUGUGAAAUAUUUUAGCCUUGAAAGCUCAGUUGUUGACAAAUCCUCAUCAAACAGAAUCUUCCAUUACAUGGUCCUGCAAUGCGUCCAGGGUGUACCUCGCCUUUUCAGUAGCUAAGUAAGCUCCACCAUCCAGCUAAACAGAAAUAAAGUGGGUUCAGAAUUUGAUGGUUAACUGGCAUUUUUGUAAAAUGAAAAAAAUGCUUCCAAAUGUUAAAAAAACAGAAAUUCAAAAGUGUGCGGGUUAUAAUUAGCAGAGAAAAAUCAAUUAUAUACAGUUUAUUUGAAAGUGUAUAAGAAAUGAGCAGCCAGAACGGAAAGCUUCUCACAGUCUGGAUGCAUUUUGGUUGCAGGCCAAUCUAAAAUCAAGCGAGAGAAGAUAGUUUGACUAUGCUUAAGAUCUGUUGGGCCUCAUGGUGACUCACUAAUCUGCUCAUCCAAGUGGAAACUCAGCAACAAAAAUCCAGAGAGAGCAAGAGAAAGGAGAGUUGAAGGAAUCCAGAUUGCUUCAAGCCACAAACUGUCGGGAGCUGCGAUGGCUCCCAGCUCCAGCAUUAUUAAUUGCAUUGCUUGCCUCAGCUCCGAGCCCAGCCCUUCCACAGAGAACAGCUUGUCUCAGCCCAAAAUCCAACAAGCCCAUCCAGAACGAACUGUCGCUUCCACACAGCUUUGACUGACCGUCUCUCCGUGUUCAGAGCUUUUAAAAUAAACUCCUCUACAUUUGGCA
Oryzias melastigma (Indian medaka) is the source of this 941-nucleotide long non-coding RNA. RefSeq lists it as uncharacterized. The transcript has 2 exons. The record is from RefSeq and is a predicted model, not a curated record. NCBI's taxonomy places the organism in Eukaryota, Metazoa, Chordata, Actinopteri, Beloniformes, Adrianichthyidae.